Molecule: ribosomal RNA, 497 nt
Filed under: uncultured bacterium
Lineage: Bacteria
Description: partial 16S ribosomal RNA
Rfam family: Bacterial small subunit ribosomal RNA
Source: RNAcentral
GAUGAACGCUGACGGCGUGCCUAAUACAUGCAAGUCGAGCGAACGGACGAGAAGCUUGCUUCUCUGAUGUUAGCGGCGGACGGGUGAGUAACACGUGGAUAACCUACCUAUAAGACUGGGAUAACUUCGGGAAACCGGAGCUAAUACCGGAUAAUAUUUUGAACCGCAUGGUUCAAAAGUGAAAGACGGUCUUGCUGUCACUUAUAGAUGGAUCCGCGCUGCAUUAGCUAGUUGGUAAGGUAACGGCUUACCAAGGCAACGAUGCAUAGCCGACCUGAGAGGGUGAUCGGCCACACUGGAACUGAGACGCGGUCCAGACUCCUACGGGAGGCAGCAGAAGGGAAUCUUCCGCAAUGGGCGAAAGCCUGACGGAGCAACACCGCGUGAGUGAUGAAAGUCUUCGGAUCGUAAAACUCUGUUAUUAGGGAAGAACAUAUGUGUAAGUAACUGUGCACAUAUUGACGGUACCUAAUCAGAAAGCCACGGCUAACUACGUG